This 2925-nucleotide long non-coding RNA is filed under the name Bemisia tabaci. Its description in RNAcentral is "lncRNA ENSSSA3NGG005722". The record is from RNAcentral. Lineage: Eukaryota; Metazoa; Arthropoda; Insecta; Hemiptera; Aleyrodidae.
UCACUCUAUUUGUAUUUGCCUUGAGGGGUCUGCUGGGUUGCAAGGAAUGGGCAACGUUUUGGAACAUUUUGCAUCCCUGACUUAUUGUAAUUAUGUUGCAGAAUCUCGUGCGGAACUUGAGAAAAAAUGAUGAAAUCUAUCAACGGAAAACCUAGCAUUAAGGCAGGAGCUGGAAGUUUUGAGACAUCAGCUGUCAGUAACUGAGCAACAAAUGGAUAUUUUGAAGGAUACUGCAGCAAAGUUGCAGAAUUUAAAUGUCAGUACAACCCUCGAUCAAAAAGUGGCUUACGAGGCUAAAGAUCGAGAAACAAUUGCCUUACGAGAACUGAACUUACAGAUCCAGAGAGAAAACAUGAAGUUAAACCGCCAACUUGAAGAAUUAAAGGGAAAUAAUAUUGCAAUUUUGGAAGGAGCAUCACAACUAAAAAGAAAAAAAGAAAAAAAAGACCAUAAUACAUCUGUCUUAAAACGUGAAUUUGAAAAUCUGAGAAAAGUCAUGCUGAAGUGAUGAAAAAAUGUGAUGCACACAAAGGACACGACCAAAAGACAAAGAUUAUUGCAGAAUGUCUUAGGAAAAAAUGCGACGCCCUUCAUCUCGAAAAUGAAAAGCUUCAAAAAGAAAAUGCAUUACUCUCAAGUGAAGUUCAGUUGCAGAGGAGAAAAUUAAAGCAAACUCUUGAUGCCAAAGGGACGAAAAGAAAUUAUUCAAUGGUAGAGGAACAAGUUAACUCCAAAUGUCAAGAGGAGCUAAAGCGCCAAAGUGAGAUCAAUAGCAAACUGCAAUUAACCGUAGCUGAAGCCAUUAAUAAAAACAAGAAAUUAAAACUGCAAAAGCAAGACCUAGAGGCAGAACUACUCAAAUACAAGGACAAGAAUUGAAUCGUCAUGAGCUGUCUUCCAAGAUGAAAUCAAUUCCUCAUGAAACUAUUUCCUCACUUCAUGUUUUUUCAGUCUUAAAAAAAUCACCCAAUUACUUUUGUAUGUUUAACCAAAGUUUCAAAGAUUUUAAUCUAUUUUUUCCCCUUGAGAUUUGAAAAAUCUGAAACUAAAACAAAACAUUAAAGAAGUAGAAACAUGAUUACUGAUUACAUUAAAAUUUUACAUACAUUUUUUGAUCAAAUGAAUCCACCUUAAAAAUGUGUAAUAAGUGCAUUGGAAAUAAUUCCUCAGAAAUACGAUAACUAACUUUAUUUAAUCUUAAUAACAUUUUGAGGAAAAGGGAGGGCACAAAAACUCAAGUUAUUGACUCUCUUGAUAUAAUAAAGGGGAGAUACCAACAUUCAAAGUUGGGCAAUAAGUAUCAUAGUUGUGAAAUUAUUCUAUUGAAAUUAUUAAGUCACAUAGGACUCAUCAAAAUCAGUUCUUGCUCCUAAUUUGAAAAUGAAAUCCUUGAUGAGCAUCGUCGGUCAUCUUCUUCACCAAGGGAUGCUAUGAGACCGUGUUAUUGUGAAGCCAGAGAGAGGAAAAUUCUGGUGCAGAUGGACACGCGACGGAAGACAUUUUAAAGCCUCAUUUGCCAACAGUGGCAUCUUGGCUCUGUUUAUCCAUGAAAGGUACUUUACCUACAAAAACGGGGGUUGAAAGAGAGAGUGAGUGUUAUCGUACUCAUCGAUUCACUUUAGGGGGAAAAACUGCUUUGGAUGAUUUCUUUUUAUUUGUGUGAGCUUCAAAAUUUUUGCGAACAAAAUUUGGGACCUUGGUGGUGACACCAAUCUCUGAUGUAAGUACACCACUGACUGUACUUCUUAUUUCCAAAAUAGGACUUAAUCCUUGAGUGAGAACAUUUUAUGAGCACCCUUGGCAUCCUCUAAAUAUCUUUGAAUACUUCAGGAGGAAAAUCUUCCCCAGAUUCAUAGAACAGUAUGCUUUGUAAAAUUCAGCUCCGAAGUGGUUUUACUUGGCUUUCUUUCACUCUACUCUGAUGCUAAAUUAAAUUAAAAUUGAGGAAAAUCUUAAAAAAUACUAGAGUUAUUUAGAAUCAACUGAACGACUUUAAUAAAAUCUGUUGGUACAAAGACAGCUUUGAAAGAGCUACAAUUGACAGGCCUCUUUUUUUGAUACUAGUCUCUGAGUUCGGAAAAUUGACAUACAAGUGAUGAGAAUAACAUGCAUUUAACUGCGUACAAAUUGAAUAGAAAUUCUUAUGAAUACUUAUUUGCUAACCUAAUAAGGCACUGGUAGGCUUACGUACAGAGCAACCUACCGGCUCAGCAUGGAAAGGUAAUUGUUGGAGUAAAAUUAUGUAUAUGUAAACAAAGAUGGUUGAGGAGUGACAUUGAUGCUCUUCAGUAGAAUAGAUUUUAUCAUUGAGUAGAGGAGUUACAUUGAGAAAAAGGAACACCAGUACUCCACAUUGAUGUAAUUCAAAAUUAAAAAUAUGCAUGCUUCCAAAACGCUCAACGUAACCACCAAUACUUAGGCCAGGUAUAUCUAGCUUCGCAGACAUAAGGGUACGUCUCUGUUACCUUGAGAUCUAGUUCAUUGACAGCAGCUAAAUUAUGAAAAAUUUUUUUAAAUUCAUUUCUACUAGCGUGCAUCCAACCUACCAAAAAAAUGUAUUUCCCCCAUAGGAGCACACUGCAAUAUGCUCUGUGCAUAUCUAAAUGAAAACAAUUAGUUGAGGUAUUAAAUUUUUGCUUAUAAAAUCAAUAUCCAAUGGUCACGGUAGGAGUCAACAAGCUAUAAAUUCGGAAAAUUCGUUGAAAUUCCGAAUUCAGUUCUCUGAUGACAUACAGCGAAAAUAUCUUUGAAAAAAAAAAUCACAUACAUGAAAAAUAAACCGGAAACAGAAACUAAUAGCAACCUGGGUGCGGGGGGGGGGAUCAUCAUAAUGAUGAUAGGGUAUGUAUCGCCAAAAUCUGGGAAGUAUUACAAAGGAAUUUUGAAUGAGUGGUUUUGGUACUUCCUAUUCUUAAGCAGGAGAUA